CCUACGGGAGGCAGCAGUAGGGAAUAUUGCUCAAUGGGGGAAACCCUGAAGCAGCAACGCCGCGUGGAGGAUGAAGGUUUUCGGAUUGUAAACUCCUUUUGUUAGAGAAGAUAAUGACGGUAUCUAACGAAUAAGCACCGGCUAACUCCGUGCCAGCAGCCGCGGUAAUACGGAGGGUGCAAGCGUUACUCGGAAUCACUGGGCGUAAAGAGCGCGUAGGCGGGAUAGCAAGUCAGAUGUGAAAUCCUAUGGCUUAACCAUAGAACUGCAGUUGAAACUGUUAUUCUAGAGUAUGGGAGAGGUAGGUGGAAUUCGUGGUGUAGGGGUCAAAUCCGUAGAGAUCAAGAGGAAUACUGAUUGCGAAGGCGGCCUGCUAGAACAUAACUGACGCUGAUGCGCGAAAGCGUGGGGAGCGAACAGGAUUAGAUACCCGAGUAGUC
RNAcentral lists this ribosomal RNA (440 nucleotides) under uncultured bacterium. Its description in RNAcentral is "partial 16S ribosomal RNA". It matches the Rfam family "Bacterial small subunit ribosomal RNA", at positions 338 to 795 of the family's 1533-position model. The record is from RNAcentral.